GGCGGCGUGCUUACACAUGCAAGUCGAGUGCGCGUCCUGGUAGCAAUACUGGGAUGGCGCAUGGCGCACGGGUGCGUAACACGUGGGCAAUCUGCCCUCCGAUGGGGAAUAACCCCGCGAAAGCGGGGCUAAUACCGCAUAACAUUCCGGGAACUCCGGUUUCUGGAUUCAAAGCCGUAAGGCGUCGGUGGAGGAGCCCGCGCACGAUUAGCUAGUUGGUAGGGUAACGGCCUACCAAGGCUAUGAUCGUUAGCUGGUCUGAGAGGAUGGCCAGCCACACUGGAACUGAGACACGGUCCAGACUCCUACGGGAGGCAGCAGUGGGGAAUCUUGCGCAAUGGGCGAAAGCCUGACGCAGCGACGCCGCGUGGGGGAUGAAGCUUCUCGGAGUGUAAACCCCUUUCGACUGGGACGAAUACCUCGUAAGAGGGGUGACGGUACCAGUAGAAGAAGCCCCGGCUAACUACGUGCCAGCAGCCGCGGUAAGACGUAGGGGGCCAGCGUUGUUCGGAAUUACUGGGUGUAAAGGGUUCGUANGCGGUGUGGCAAGUCGGGAGUGAAAUUUCUGGGCUUAACUCAGAGACUGCUUUCGAAACUGCUGUGCUUGA
RNAcentral lists this ribosomal RNA (608 nucleotides) under uncultured bacterium. RNAcentral's name for it is "bacterial SSU rRNA". It matches the Rfam family "Bacterial small subunit ribosomal RNA", at positions 38 to 645 of the family's 1533-position model. The record is from RNAcentral.